AUCUGUUGGAUCCAUGAUCAGAAGGGAUUGUUGUGGAACUGACUAUAGUUUCAGUUGUUUAUAGCGAAUAUGCAUAAAUGAAAUGUGAUCUUAUCCCCCUCAAUUGCUAUAAUGUGGGGGACAGUGUGGUUUAUUAUUUAGCACACCUGGGCUCAAGUUCCAGUGCAAAGUCGUCAUGCUUCAAGGGCAUUGACAGGGAGGGGAAUGUUGUCAGGCAGAAUUUUGCAGCAUUACAUACACUACUGUCUCUUACUUAUGGGUUACCCAACUUCCUGCCUACAGUCUGUGGGAGCCAAGAUAGUGCUGAUAACGGUAUUCCCACCUCAGUCUUCUCCAGCGACCUCCAUAGCUUAUUGGUAUCAUGUUUUCCCACAAAGGAAUUGUGGCUCAAAAUUACCACAAAGUUUUGUAAUACAUAACUGGCAAUUAAGCUGGACCAAGACUUUUUUGGAAACUUUUAAUGCCCAGCCAAACUCUUCCUGUAGUCCAGUAGUUUCGUCGCAUAUGGAGGUAAAGAAUUCAGGGAAUUCACAGUUGGGUAAUCGUCGAUUUUUGGCAAGCGUAUUUGUCUGGCGCUGUCAGUUUGAGGCUGUGGGAGGGAAUAUAGCUUAGUGAUAGCUGACCCUAUUUCUGUUGCCUGCCUGUAACUUCCCACAUCUGUUGCUGUUAAUAAAAACAAAAAUUAAAAAGGGGAGACUGGGAAAAAGAAGAGGUGAUGUUUCAAAUUCGAGGGAGGCCAGCUCUCGUCUGAGUUUGGUUAAGUGCAAAAAGAUAUGUAUUUUGUGCUUCUCUGACCUGUAUACAUGCGAGUAAAGUGUUGAGGUGGGAUUCUUGUGUUUUCACCUCAGUCCCUUUCUCAUUAACAUGUGUAUGCUUUCCACACACAAAGUAAAUCUAAUAUG
This is a non-coding RNA of Pelobates cultripes (western spadefoot toad), 902 nucleotides long. The record is from the annotation of a GenBank genome assembly. NCBI's taxonomy places the organism in Eukaryota, Metazoa, Chordata, Amphibia, Anura, Pelobatidae.